RNAcentral lists this ribosomal RNA (1106 nucleotides) under Kurthia sp. SCAU21. RNAcentral describes it as "bacterial SSU rRNA". It matches the Rfam family "Bacterial small subunit ribosomal RNA", at positions 31 to 1130 of the family's 1533-position model. The record is from RNAcentral. Lineage: Bacteria; Bacillati; Bacillota; Bacilli; Caryophanales; Caryophanaceae.
UAACGCUGGCGGCGUGCCUAAUACAUGCAAGUCGAGCGAAUGACGAGAAGCUUGCUUCUCUGAUUUAGCGGCGGACGGGUGAGUAACACGUGGGCAACCUGCCCUACAGAUCGGGAUAACUCAGGGAAACCUGGGCUAAUACCGGAUAAUCCUUCGAAUCACAUGUUUUGAAGUUGAAAGGCGCUUCGGCGUCACUGUAGGAUGGGCCCGCGGUGCAUUAGCUAGUUGGUGGGGUAACGGCCUACCAAGGCAACGAUGCAUAGCCGACCUGAGAGGGUGAUCGGCCACAUUGGGACUGAGACACGGCCCAAACUCCUACGGGAGGCAGCAGUAGGGAAUCUUCCACAAUGGACGAAAGUCUGAUGGAGCAACGCCGCGUGAGUGAUGAAGGUUUUCGGAUCGUAAAACUCUGUUGUAAGGGAAGAACAAGUACGUUAGGAAAUGAACGUACCUUGACGGUACCUUAUUAGAAAGCCACGGCUAACUACGUGCCAGCAGCCGCGGUAAUACGUAGGUGGCAAGCGUUGUCCGGAUUUAUUGGGCGUAAAGCGCGCGCAGGUGGUUUCUUAAGUCUGAUGUGAAAGCCCACGGCUCAACCGUGGAGGGUCAUUGGAAACUGGGGAACUUGAGUGCAGAAGAGGAUAGUGGAAUUCCAAGUGUAGCGGUGAAAUGCGUAGAGAUUUGGAGGAACACCAGUGGCGAAGGCGACUGUCUGGUCUGUAACUGACACUGAGGCGCGAAAGCGUGGGGAGCAAACAGGAUUAGAUACCCUGGUAGUCCACGCCGUAAACGAUGAGUGCUAAGUGUUAGGGGGUUUCCGCCCCUUAGUGCUGCAGCUAACGCAUUAAGCACUCCGCCUGGGGAGUACGACCGCAAGGUUGAAACUCAAGGAAUUGACGGGGGCCCGCACAAGCGGUGGAGCAUGUGGGUUUAAUUCGAAGCAACGCGAGAACCUUACCAGUCUUGACAUCCCAUGACCGUUCUAGAGAUAGGAUUUUCCCUUCGGGGACAUUGGUGACAGUUGUGCAUGAUGUCGUCAGCUCGUGUCGUGAGAUGUUGGGGUAGUCCCGCACGAGCGCACCUUAUUCUUAGUGCAUCAUUUAGUU